This is a long non-coding RNA of Diceros bicornis minor, 1180 nucleotides long. RefSeq lists it as uncharacterized. The record is from RefSeq and is a predicted model, not a curated record. The transcript is spliced from 2 exons. NCBI's taxonomy places the organism in Eukaryota, Metazoa, Chordata, Mammalia, Perissodactyla, Rhinocerotidae.
AUCCCACUACCUAACAUAAUACUAGUAAUUUCUCUAUUCUCCCCCGGUGUAACCAGGGAUGGCUUUGGGAACUAACUUGGGAGACCAUAUCAGGUAACAGUGCAUGAAGGCCCACCAGUCCCAUGAGCCUUUGUCGCUCCCAAGUGGCUUCAAGGGGUGAAAUAAGAAAUGUGGUGGCUCCUUAGGAGGAAAAAGCAAGGUGAAAAGUGUAUUUGGGUGGGGACAGCAGAAUAACGAGUAGAUUCUGGGAGAAGAGGACUCCCUGCAAGGGCUCUAGGAGAGCUCCACUGUGGGAGUGGAUGGUGCCCUCCAUCUGCCCCUCUUCAGGAGAAUACUCUGCCUUCACUUUUGUUUCUUGUGUUGGAGCUCACCCAGAUUAUUCCACCUACGGAUUAAAGUUUCUUUUUCCCCACAGGCAAUGAGGAAAUUAUUUCUUUCCCAACUAGUUCUGUCUAAUUCUGGUAAUCUUACUGAGUCAGUCCCUCAGUAAGUGAGUCACUCAGGAAAUACCCGCCCCCACCCCACACCACUUCCCCCCAAUUGGAGCUGCUUAGAGAACUUGAUAUUUUCAUGAACUCUUCCCACACAAGUGCAGUCCGAAAGCAGAGCUAGUGGUGGCAACCAAAGUGAACAAAGAAUUUGGCUUCAUCUAUAAAUAGACAAGAAAGAAGUACAGUUAUGGAGAUGCCCAUGUGGACCUCCUGACAGCAGAAUGUAUUCUGAUACGUCACUUCAUAGUACCAUUUAUGAAGACUAAGUGAGUUCACACAUGACGAGUGUGCAGAACAAUAAAGAAUAAAUAUCACCUGUCACUUUUAGUGCCCCAUCACCACAGCAAUCACAGGUUGUAUUAUCCUUAUUUACAUUUCUGCCAUUCCCCUCCCCCCAGACCCUGAGUUCCCCAAAGGCCAAGUCUGUGUCUUAUCUGUCCCAUGGGCACAAAGUUGACCCAGUGAGAGUUUGUGACAUGAAAGUGUACAUAACUGGUGUGCUGCUGGGGCCUGAAGGUAAGUUUGAUUUGUCACAGGCGGAAGUGUUGACCUCUGGGACAUUUUCACUCAAGGCACAGGAUGAAUCUUGUGCCUCAGUUGCCCUUGGAGGGAAAUAACAGUCUUCUUAGAGUCUCAUAGCAAUGGGGCUGCUGGCUGGGAAACAUUAUCCUAAAAAAAUAAAAACAAAA